This 433-nucleotide ribosomal RNA is filed under the name uncultured bacterium. Its description in RNAcentral is "partial 16S ribosomal RNA". It matches the Rfam family "Bacterial small subunit ribosomal RNA", at positions 29 to 507 of the family's 1533-position model. The record is from RNAcentral.
AGCGAACGCUGGCGGCAGGCCUAACACAUGCAAGUCGAACGAACUCUUCGGAGUUAGUGGCGGACGGGUGAGUAACACGCGGGAACGUGCCUUUUGGUUCGGAAUAACUCAGGGAAACUUGUGCUAAUACCGAAUGUGCCCUUCGGGGGAAAGAUUUAUCGCCAUUAGAGCGGCCCGCGUCUGAUUAGCUAGUUGGUGAGGUAACGGCUCACCAAGGCGACGAUCAGUAGCUGGUCUGAGAGGAUGACCAGCCACACUGGGACUGAGACACGGCCCAGACUCCUACGGGAGGCAGCAGUGGGGAAUCUUGCGCAAUGGGCGAAAGCCUGACGCAGCCAUGCCGCGUGAAUGAUGAAGGUCUUAGGAUUGUAAAAUUCUUUCACCGGGGACGAUAAUGACGGUACCCGGAGAAGAAGCCCCGGCUAACUUCGUG